UUCUAAGAUGUAACCGAACCGGCAAGGAAACUUCUUCCUUCUUUAGUACUCUUAACCGCCUAACCUAACGCCCAAUCCACUCUCGUCCUCACCGUCAGAUCAUUCCACUCGCUCAUUCAACCCUUCGAUCAUCAACAACUUUUUCUAAUCCAUCAAAGAAAUCCCUAGCCCCUUUAUUUAAUUCCCAAUUCAACGCCCUAUUCCUAAAAUUUUCCAUUUUCCACAAUAUUUUCCCUUCAUCAAUUCCAUUUUCGUCUUUUUUUCUCAUCGAUUCAAAUCUGAUUAUCAUCAUGAGAUUCAAGAAAGGUAGCAAAGUUGAGGUAUUGACCAAGGAGGAGGUUCCAACCGGGGCAUGGCGUUGUGCUGAGAUUAUCUCGGGCAACGGCCAUACAUAUAGUGUGAAGUACGGUUGGUUUCCGAUCACUGGCGAGGCGGCAGCGGUGGAAAGAGUCCCUAGGAAAGCGAUUAGGCCUUGCCCUCCUCCUAUGAACGGGAACAAUAAUUGGGUUUCUGGUGAUAUCGUAGAGGUGUUCGAUGACUUGUCCUGGAAACCGGCGGUGAUUGUUAAGGUUCUCGGUGGAAACAACUUUUCCGUUAGGAUUCUUGGGUCGAGUAGCGAACUCAAAGCGCAUCAAUCUCGAUUGCGUAUUCGGCAGUCUUGGGAAGAUGGCUAUUGGUUCCUCGUUGGAAAGGGUUCAUCAAAUUCCACUGGGCCGCAGAAAAGGAAAAGAUCUUCGCUUGGCUUCUCAUAUAUUGGUGCUCAAAAGAAGAGGGUGUUGGAGAAAGGUAGUAAUGGUGUUCAAAGAAUAAUAAUUCGGCUUCCUUCGCCUGCCUCUGAAAAGGUAGAUGCAUUUGAUUCCCCAAAUAAUAUGCUGGGUGAAAGAUGUAUGCCUUCUUCCUUUAAUAGAAUUGAUGAUACCAUGAGUUGUGCCUCCUCUGUUGGUAGUUGUAGUGGUUUAGGGAAUAACGGUCUUAAUUUGUCUAAUUUUGUAACUAACGCUUGUGAAAACUUAGAGGAGGAUUUUCGAAGUGAUGCUGACUCUAAACCAGAAGUGAGUUGUCAAGAAGAAGGAAGUUAUGUUUCCACUAGUGUGGAAUUGGGGUAUGACUUCCAUAGGUCUGAACUGCAUGCCUAUCAGAAAGCUCUAGGGGCAUUGCAUGCUUCUGGGCCUUUGACUUGGGAUGAAGAAGAAAAGAAUAUCUCAUGGCCAAUGUUGGAGGCAUCCAUACCUUGCUUCUAGAGCCAUGAUUGGUUGAGUUUGUCAUCUCUUGCAGUUGACCAAGGGGCAACAGCCAUGGUUUAUUCCUAAACGAACUCUUAUGCCCUGCUGUUGAUGCCCUACUAUGUAAAUUGAUAUUGCAGUGACACGUCUGGAAAGAAAAAUACAUGAUAUGGAAAAAAAAAUGCAUAAUCUUAAGAAAUGGACAACUAUAAUAGUUGGAAAGCUUUUGCGUCUCCAGAAUGUAUGUAUAAUAAUGAACGUUUUAAGUAGGAUGAUUAAUGACACUCUCCCUCCCGUCUUUUGUGCACAGACUAGUAACCUUAAAUGCUCGAGUAUUGACCAGAAUAUUUGAUCAUCUCGUGACUCUAAAAAAAUCAACUUUGGCCUUUUUCGGUCUUCAUUAUUACUUUCUCAAUGUAAACAAGUUCGUAAAUGAUGAUUUAUGACAUUUGAUCAAAAGCUGUUCUAACUUCAUAGGUGGUUGCUUGAUUUUGUUAGAUGGAUGCAUGUAUAUCCAUUCGGGACACCAGGUUCAAAAAUCUUCCCAUGUGAUGUAGGAGUUAUUUUGUCCUUGCAUGAUAUUAUUUGUUUUCAAUCUUAAUGAAAUUUGCAUGAAAAAUCCUUGUGUUAGCAUCAAUGAAUAAAGAACCAAACUGUAUGGUUGAACUGGUAAUUGGUGACUUGUUUGGUCCAAUAAGUGGCAUUUAACUGGUAAAGAAUAAAUUAGUUCAAUAAUUUAAUCGCUUUUAGGUUUUAAUUAUAAUGACUCAACUCUUUGUUCUAUUUGCAUGAAAAAAAUCCUUGUGUUAGCAUCAAUGAAUGAAGAACCAAACUGGAUGAUUGAACUGGUAAUUGGUGACUUGUUUGGUCCAACAACUGGCAUUUAGCCAUGAACUUAUCAAGAAAUAUUAAUAUUGAUUGUAUUUUAAACACCAUCCGAAUGUACUUUUAAAAGUUAGACUACAUUUAAUAUUGAUUCAACAUUAAUAUGGUACAUGUUAUGUGUAAAUCUAUUUUCAGUUAACAUUGGCCGGAAGCGGUUGGACUAACCCUCCACUUCAACCUAUUUUCUGGUCACUUAUUCGUUAGUACUUAACCCCUAAUAAUGUGCAGUGGUGUGAAUCUAUGUUAUGGAUAACAUGGACUUUUCCUGUGAUCAUGUACACGGUCUGAGCAUUGGAAGGCUUGUUGAGGAUAAGUGUCUGUUUCUAUAAUCAUAUAUCAGGUUCUUAUUCACUUCUGAAUGCAGACAUGUACUGAAACAAGUGGUUCAGUUUAUGUCAUGUACAAUGGAUGAGAAUUCAUGCUGUCAGCGACAUUGUCUGUUUUCCCUAAUCAUGUACCGUGGCGAGUCUUCGAAAGACUUGUAUGGGCUGAUGUUUGAUGUGAAAAGAUUGUUAUAUCCUUUGAUUCUAGGCAGGUUCUUAUCAAUUGGUAAGUCUCAGUUACUGCUUUACAUGUGCUGCAAUUUGGGGUUAUUGUUUUGCAUUUUUUUGGACAUUUUGUUCUUCUGUAUUUUAACAUGGGUGGAUUUCAUGUUUUAUAUAUUUAUGUAAAUAUUUUCCGGUUCAGGUUCAUAUUGGAAAAAAAAAAUCCCUUCAAAUUGAUUUUUUUUUUUUUUUGAAGAUUUCAUCAUUGGCUUAUGGAAAAGUGAACCAUCAAUAAUUUUCCAUUUUCAACGACAAUUUCCCUAAUGUUCCUUUUUUUUCUUGGAUUCACAUCUGAUUCAUUGGUAACGAGAUUCAGAAAGGUAGCAAAGUUGAGGUAUUGACCGAGGAGAUUCCAACUGGUGCUUUGCAUUCUGUUGAGAUUAUCUCUGGUAAUGGCCAUACGUAUGGCGUGAAUGCAGUUGGUCUCGGUUUCUGAACACUGAAGAGGCAUCGGCUAUGGGGAGAGCCCCUAGUAAAGCGAUUAGGCCUUGCUGCCCUUCUAUAAAUGGAAACGCUAAUUGGGUUCAUGGUGGUGCUCUAGAGGUAGUGGACAAGUUUUCUGUUAGGAUUCUUGGAUCAAGUAGCAAACUAAGCACAUCAAUCUCGACUGCCUGUUUUACAAUCUUGGGAAGAUGGCAAUAGGAUUCUGGUUGGAAGGUAAAUCCUUUUGAUUCUUGUUUUUUGAAGGAUAGUUCUAAUAUUGCUCUUCAUUAGAUGUAACUGAUUCUUGCCUUAAUUAUUAUUUUCUACCUCAUGAUUAUCAUAUCCCACUGGGCCACUGAGGAGGAAAAGAUCUUACUUGGCUUCUCCAUUGUGGUGCGCAAAAGAAGAGGGUGCUUGAGGAACGUAGUAAUGGUGUUCAAAAGAUAGUACUUCGGCUUCCUUUGUGUGCUUGCGUUUGUUUCCCCAAAUAAUAUACUUCGUGAAAGAUGUGUCCCGUUCUUCCUUUAAUAGAAUUGAUGAUACCAUGAGUAGUGUUAUGUUUUACUCUAAUUAACUCUAGAGUUCCAAUUUUGUAAUUGCUUUAAUAGUUUCUUUUCCUGUCUUCAUAAUUGAGGCCUUUGUUCUUUAUGCAA
Molecule: RNA transcript, 3729 nt
Organism: Gossypium arboreum
Lineage: Eukaryota; Viridiplantae; Streptophyta; Magnoliopsida; Malvales; Malvaceae
Exons: 4
Source: RefSeq, a predicted model, not a curated record